This 478-nucleotide ribosomal RNA is filed under the name uncultured bacterium. Its description in RNAcentral is "partial 16S ribosomal RNA". It matches the Rfam family "Bacterial small subunit ribosomal RNA", at positions 28 to 507 of the family's 1533-position model. The record is from RNAcentral.
GAUGAACGCUGGCGGCGUGCUUAACACAUGCAAGUCGAACGAGAAGUGAAGACGGACACCUUCUGGCGGAUGGCGUUAUUCCGAGUGGCGGACGGGUGAUUAACGCCUGGGUAUCCUGCCUCAUUCACGGGGAUAACAGUUGGAUACGACUGCUUAUACCGCAUCAGAUCACACCACCGCACGGUGCGGGGGUAAAAACUCCGGUUGCAUGAGAUGGACCCGCGUUGGAUUAGCCAGUUGGCGGGGUAACGGCACACCAAAGCGACGAUCGAUAGCCGAGCAGAGAGGAGGGGCGCCCACAUUGGGAGGGAGACACGGGAGGAAAUCCUACGAGAGGGGGCAGUGGGGAAUAUUGCACAAUGGGGGAAGUCCUGAAGGAGCGACGCCGCGUAAAUGAAGAAGUAUGGGGGUAAGAAAAGCUCUAUUAACAGGGAAGAACAUGACGGUACCUGAGUAAAAAGCCACGGCUAACUACGUG